UAAAGAAAGAAGUGUUGUGCAAUGGCCAGCAGCACGGACAAAGGCGCAAAGGUGGACGGAGGUCUGGGGUUCGAGUCUCGCCUCGCGCACAGAAGGCUUGGGUUUUUGCUGCUCACGUGGGGAAGGAGUUGGAGUCUGAUUCGGACUCUCCUGGCAGCAUGCUGAAACGGUGCAAGGGGUGGAUAAGGAUGCUGCUAAUCAGUGGGGGAGUUUGAACUGAUCAGGGGAUUGGGUAAGGAUAAGAUAAGGGAGGAAAUUUAGGAGUUGCUGAUCAAGGACUUGGUGUUGGCCGAAUGUUGGACUCUUGAAGGGCAAGAGUUGGCCGGUCAAGGGUUUUUUUAUCAUAGCCGAAUCUCUACUCUUUUCUUCCUUAAAAAGCCGAAAACCUUCAUACCUGUAGUAUAGGAAGCUGAACCUUUGGCUACUUGAAUCUACUUCUUCUCGUAACAACGGUGGAUUGGAGUUAAGAUCAUAGAUAGGAGCACUUUUCUGGGCCAAACAACGAUUGCGUUAGCGUGGACAAGGCGGCGUGCUGUGGAGGGUUUGAAGACUGAUUCGGAUUGGAUCUCUAGAUCUAGUCCAUAUUUUGGUAGAAAGGCAACACAUGUGUGGAUCUCGCCAGCGUAUCGUUAUUGAUCAGGUGUUUAAACGACACCAGUAACAGCCCAAUUUGGACCCUAAUUGGAACUGUGGUUUCGAGACCACGAAUCCGAGUUAGAAUAAUAUUUAAAUAUUAUUUUCUAUGUUUAAAAUGUGUGAAGUUGCUUUUGUGAAAGUUUCGUUUAAAAAUUUUAGUGUUUGGAGGUCGAUUGAUGAAAAAGGGUUUAAUCGCUUAAAAUGAAAAUUUUAAGGGUUAAUGUAUAAGGGCCAAAUUAUGAUUGUUUUUAUAUUAUGUAAUAUUAAGGUUGCAAUUUGGCCAUAAAUAGGAAUUAGUGGCCAACCAAUAUGCAUGGAUUAAUGACUUGAAUUGUUUAUUAUAUUUUAUGGCAUUAUGGUAUACUUUAAUAUA
Long non-coding RNA from Gossypium arboreum, 1009 nucleotides. RefSeq lists it as uncharacterized. NCBI's taxonomy places the organism in Eukaryota, Viridiplantae, Streptophyta, Magnoliopsida, Malvales, Malvaceae. The record is from RefSeq and is a predicted model, not a curated record. The transcript is spliced from 3 exons.